CCUACAGGUGGCAGCAGUGAGGAAUAUUGGUCAAUGGGCGCGAGCCUGAACCAGCCAAGUCGCGUGAGGGAGGACGGCCCUACGGGUUGUAAACCUCUUUUGCCGGGGAGCAACGGGCGCCACGUGUGGCGCCACUGAGAGUACCCGGAGAAAAAGCAUCGGCUAACUCCGUGCCAGCAGCCGCGGUAAUACGGAGGAUGCGAGCGUUAUCCGGAUUUAUUGGGUUUAAAGGGUGCGUAGGCGGAUCGUUAAGUCAGUGGUCAAAUUGAGGGGCUCAACCCCUUCCCGCCAUUGAAACUGGCGAUCUUGAGUGGAAGAGAAGUAUGCGGAAGGCGUGGUGUAGCGGUGAAAUGCAUAGAUAUCACGCAGAACCCCGAUUGCGAAGGCAGCAUGCCGGCUUCCGACUGACGCUGAAGCACGAAAGCGUGGGGAUCGAACAGGAUUAGAUACCCGGGUAGUC
RNAcentral lists this ribosomal RNA (460 nucleotides) under uncultured bacterium. RNAcentral's name for it is "partial 16S ribosomal RNA". It matches the Rfam family "Bacterial small subunit ribosomal RNA", at positions 338 to 795 of the family's 1533-position model. The record is from RNAcentral.